RNAcentral lists this ribosomal RNA (351 nucleotides) under uncultured bacterium. Its description in RNAcentral is "bacterial SSU rRNA". It matches the Rfam family "Bacterial small subunit ribosomal RNA", at positions 28 to 365 of the family's 1533-position model. The record is from RNAcentral.
GAUGAACGCUAGCUACAGGCUUAACACAUGCAAGUCGAGGGGAAACGAUAGAGAAAGCUUGCUUUUUCUAGGCGUCGACCGGCGCACGGGUGAGUAACGCGUAUCCAACCUGCCCACCACUUGGGGAUAACCUUGCGAAAGUAAGACUAAUACCCAAUGACGUCUCUAGAAGGCAUCUGAAAGGGAUUAAAGAUUUAUCGGGUGAUGGAUGGGGAUGCGUCUGAUUAGCUUGUUGGCGGGGUAACGGCCCACCAAGGCAACGAUCAGUAGGGGUUCUGAGAGGAAGGUCCCCCACAUUGGAACUGAGACACGGUCCAAAACUCCUACGGGGAGGCAGCAGUGAGGAAUAUU